UACGAAAGGUGCAAGCGUUGUUCGGAAUCAUUGGGCGUAAAGCGCACGUAGGCGGGAAAGUGUGUCGAUUGUGAAAGCCCAGGGCUUAACCCUGGAAUUGCAGUCGAAACUGCUUUUCUUGAAUACUUGAUAGGGUGGGAGAAUUCCUGGUGGAGCAGUGAAAUGCGUAGAGAUCAGGAGGAAUACCGGAGGCGAAGGCGCCUGCCUGGCAAGAUAUUGACGCUGAGGUGCGAAAGCGUGGGGAGCAAACAGG
This 253-nucleotide ribosomal RNA is filed under the name uncultured bacterium. RNAcentral describes it as "partial 16S ribosomal RNA". It matches the Rfam family "Bacterial small subunit ribosomal RNA", at positions 524 to 776 of the family's 1533-position model. The record is from RNAcentral.